AGGGCUUGGCAUCCCCUGACAGCAGUGGAAACAUUGUGUUCUGCCUUCGGGUGGACAGGGAGAC
Molecule: ribosomal RNA, 64 nt
Filed under: uncultured organism
Description: partial 16S ribosomal RNA
Source: RNAcentral